RNAcentral lists this ribosomal RNA (417 nucleotides) under uncultured microorganism. RNAcentral describes it as "bacterial SSU rRNA". It matches the Rfam family "Bacterial small subunit ribosomal RNA", at positions 9 to 424 of the family's 1533-position model. The record is from RNAcentral.
GAGUUUGAUCAUGGCUCAGAGUGAACGCUGGCGGUAGGCCUAACACAUGCAAGUCGAACGGCAGCACAGAGGAGCUUGCUCCUUGGGUGGCGAGUGGCGGACGGGUGAGGAAUACAUCGGAAUCUACUCUGUCGUGGGGGAUAACGUAGGGAAACUUACGCUAAUACCGCAUACGACCUACGGGUGAAAGCAGGGGAUCUUCGGACCUUGCGCGAUUGAAUGAGCCGAUGUCGGAUUAGCUAGUUGGCGGGGUAAAGGCCCACCAAGGCGACGAUCCGUAGCUGGUCUGAGAGGAUGAUCAGCCACACUGGAACUGAGACACGGUCCAGACUCCUACGGGAGGCAGCAGUGGGGAAUAUUGGACAAUGGGCGCAAGCCUGAUCCAGCCAUACCGCGUGGGUGAAGAAGGCCUCGGUU